UGGGGAAUUUUGGACAAUGGGGGCAACCCUGAUCCAGCCAUGCCGCGUGAGUGAAGAAGGCCUUCGGGUUGUAAAGCUCUUUCGGACGGAACGAAAUGGUUACGGUCAAUACCCGUGACUGAUGACGGUACCGUAAGAAGAAGCACCGGCUAACUACGUGCCAGCAGCCGCGGUAAUACGUAGGGUGCGAGCGUUAAUCGGAAUUACUGGGCGUAAAGCGUGCGCAGGCGGUUUCGUAAGCUGGAGGUGA
This 250-nucleotide ribosomal RNA is filed under the name uncultured bacterium. RNAcentral describes it as "partial 16S ribosomal RNA". It matches the Rfam family "Bacterial small subunit ribosomal RNA", at positions 355 to 597 of the family's 1533-position model. The record is from RNAcentral.